UAAAUGGUGGCCACAAAUAAUACAUUUUUUCACAGCAAAUACUUCAUUUACUUAAUAAAAAAACACAUUUCUAUACUAGUGUAUACAUUAAAUGACAUUGGUGUAGUUAUAUUAUGCAGAUAAACAAUUUAGCAGUGCAGAGAGAUGUACUAAACAUGCAAGAACAUUCAAAAUUAAAUUUAAAAAAUGUACAACCCCAAAUUACUAGUUGCAGACAAGGUCAUGACAAACAGUGUCAGCAUGACAUUGGGCAUUGCUAAAUCUAAAUGCUCAUCAUGAAAUUCUCCAGAUACACCUCAUUUUAUUUCUGCUCUCUAUGUUUUAUUCUAUUAUUCUUCACUUAGGAAGCUGGUGCAAUUUUGGCCUUCUUGUAGUCAGACUUAACCUCUACAUUUCCUGAUACAUUUGAGUUUUGGGAGUUCUUUACAGCAUGUAGCAGAAUAACAAUUUCAGAGACUGUUACUCUGAAGCAGAUAAUGAAACCUCAUUACAGUGGCAUCGCCAGAAUUUUUAGGGUCCCAAAUUAGGUUUUGUUCUGUUGCUUUAAUGAAUCCUUUUUGUGUUUUGGUGUGUUUUGCUUUUUUUUUUUUUUUUUUUCCAGCCAAAACAUUUUUCUUUAUAUUUAAAUCUUUCCCUAAUAUGUCUAGAUUUCUGUCCCACUGGAAGGAAAUUGUUUCACACUAUUACUGGAGAUGAAACUGGUUUUUGUCUUUCUGCAGUUUCUAAGAGUCAGCAGGAAAAAUAGGUUUUAAAAUAAUUUUACUGCAGAAUAAAUUGGGCAGAUUCUGUUUAAUCACCUAGUGUAAGUGGAUAAAGUAUGAUAAAUUUUGAUACACAGAAAAGGCAACCGGAUUCUGGUAGCAUUAAUAUUAGAUAAUAUUGUUAUUACACUAACACAAAAUGUUAAAGAUGAUUUCUAACCCAACGUAUUUGCAAAUAUACAAUACCUGGAAAUGCAUAGACAUCUCAGCUUUUAGAAACAAAAUGCAUGUGCAAUUUUAACUUCUCUUGACUUACUUUAUAAAUUCACUUUUAAAUUAAUGACUACCAUUUAUGGGAUAUGUAUGAUAUCAGAUAAUCUUAAAUUGUUUUUUAUGAAAUAAAAGGACAUAUAAGCUGGGUGUAGUGGCUCACAUCUCUAACCCUAACACUUUGGUAGGCCAAGGCAGGAGGAUCACUUGAGCCCAGGAGUUCGAGACCAGCGUGGUUAGCAUAGUGAGGCCUCGUCUUUACAAACAAUGCAAAAUUUAGCUGGGCGUGGUGGUGCACACCUGUGAUCCCAGCUACUCAUGAGGCUGAGGCAGGAUGGAUCACUUAAGUUGGAGAGGUCAAGGCUGCAGUGGCUGUGAUUAUGCCACUGCCCUCCAGCCUGGGUUACGGAGCAAGACCCUGUCUCAAAAAAAGAAGGACAUAUUUUUUAAAAAAUUGUAUUGAUGACUACAUCUUUCAUCAUAGUUAGAGACAGACUCAAGACAUCUGUAGUAUGAUUGUGUUUAUGUCUACCCCAAAUAUGUAACUUUUUAUUAUGUCUUUAUUAAGAAGAUGACCGCUUU
Long non-coding RNA from Macaca fascicularis (crab-eating macaque), 1553 nucleotides. The record is from Ensembl. Lineage: Eukaryota; Metazoa; Chordata; Mammalia; Primates; Cercopithecidae.